RNAcentral lists this ribosomal RNA (276 nucleotides) under uncultured Leptotrichia sp. RNAcentral's name for it is "partial 16S ribosomal RNA". It matches the Rfam family "Bacterial small subunit ribosomal RNA", at positions 502 to 776 of the family's 1533-position model. Lineage: Bacteria; Fusobacteriati; Fusobacteriota; Fusobacteriia; Fusobacteriales; Leptotrichiaceae. The record is from RNAcentral.
UACGUGCCAGCAGCCGCGGUAAUACGUAUGUCGCGAGCGUUAUCCGGAAAUUAUUGGGCAUAAAGGGCAUCUAGGCGGCCUUUCAAGUCAGGGGUGAAAACCUGCGGCUCAACCGCAGGCCUGCCUUUGAAACUGAUAGGCUGGAGUACCGGAGAGGUGGACGGAACUGCACGAGUAGAGGUGAAAUUCGUAGAUAUGUGCAGGAAUGCCGAUGAUGAAGAUAGUUCACUGGACGGUAACUGACGCUGAAGUGCGAAAGCCGGGGGAGCGAACAGG